RNAcentral lists this non-coding RNA (1245 nucleotides) under Helicosporium thailandense. RNAcentral describes it as "Helicosporium sp. WD-2020a partial large subunit ribosomal RNA". The stretch from base 1 to 940 matches the Rfam family "Eukaryotic large subunit ribosomal RNA", at positions 78 to 1888 of the family's 3401-position model. Lineage: Eukaryota; Fungi; Ascomycota; Dothideomycetes; Tubeufiales; Tubeufiaceae. The record is from RNAcentral.
CCUCAGUAACGGCGAGUGAAGCGGCAACAGCUCAAAUUUGAAAUCUGGUCCUUUCAGGGCCCGAGUUGUAAUUUGUAGAGGAUGCUUCGGCUUACGCGGCGGUCUAAGUUCCUUGGAACAGGACGUCACAGAGGGUGAGAACCCCGUUUGUGGCCGGCGCUUCGGCUAUGUGAAGCUCCUUCGACGAGUCGAGUUGUUUGGGAAUGCAGCUCUAAAUGGGAGGUAAAUUUCUUCUAAAGCUAAAUAAUGGCUAGAGACCGAUAGCGCACAAGUAGAGUGAUCGAAAGAUGAAAAGCACUUUGGAAAGAGAGUCAAACAGUACGUGAAAUUGUUGAAAGGGAAGCGCUUGCGACCAGACUUGGGCGCGGAUGCUCAGCCGGUCCUCGGGCCGGUGUACUCUUCCGCGGUCAGGCCAGCAUCAGUUCGGGCGGUCGGAUAAAGGCUUUGGGAAUGUAGCUCUCUUCGGGGAGUGUUAUAGCCCGUGGCACAAUACGGCCCGCGUGGACUGAGGAACGCGCUUCGGCCAGGAUGCUGGCGUAAUGGUCGUAAGCGGCCCGUCUUGAAACACGGACCAAGGAGUCUAACAUCUAUGCGAGUGUUUGGGUGGCAAACCCGUGCGCGAAAUGAAAGUGAACGGAGGUGGGAGCCCUCGGGUGCACCAUCGACCGAUCCUGAUGUCUUCGGAUGGAUUUGAGUAAGAGCAUAGCUGUUGGGACCCGAAAGAUGGUGAACUAUGCCUGAAUAGGGUGAAGCCAGAGGAAACUCUGGUGGAGGCUCGCAGCGGUUCUGACGUGCAAAUCGAUCGUCAAAUUUGGGUAUAGGGGCGAAAGACUAAUCGAACCAUUGAGUUUUUGGAGGGGCUACUAGGUGGUUAAGAGGCGACUGAAAAGGUCGCUAGUCCUGCCUCCAGGGCGAUACCGUCAAAUUGCGGGGACCUCCUUACAGCCUGAGCUACCGCGGCCACGUUAAAAGACGGGGUGCAGCACCGGGGUAAUGACCUAGGGGAUGGUAAAAACGCUCAGGAUUGGAGAAUCCGCAGCCAAGCUCUAAGGCGCUGUUCCUAGCAGUGGUAAGAGUGCAGUUCACAGACUAGAUGGCGGUAGGUCUGGGGUCGAUGGAUUUUGACGCCGGGCUUAAGGUAUAGUCGAUUCCCUGCAGAAAUGCAGGCGGCGGGAGAAAGCUUCUAGGCGGAUGGGCCGCUGUCACAGGCGGUGCCUAGCAAGCGCGAGCCCUGCCGGGAGCCCG